This 551-nucleotide ribosomal RNA is filed under the name Macaca mulatta (Rhesus monkey). RNAcentral's name for it is "partial 16S ribosomal RNA". It matches the Rfam family "Bacterial large subunit ribosomal RNA", at positions 1816 to 2597 of the family's 2925-position model. The record is from RNAcentral. Lineage: Eukaryota; Metazoa; Chordata; Mammalia; Primates; Cercopithecidae.
CACCUCUAGCAUUACUAGUAUUAGAGGCACUGCCUGCCCAGUGACACACGUUUAACGGCCGCGGUACCCUGACCGUGCAAAGGUAGCAUAAUCACUUGUUCUUUAAAUGGGGACUCGCAUGAAAGGCACCACGAGGGUUUAACUGUCUCUUACUUUUAACCAGUGAAAUUGACCUGCCCGCGAAGAGGCGGACAUAGUAUAAUAAGACGAGAAGACCCUAUGGAGCUUUAAUCUAUUAAUGCAAUCAAAAAUUACACAAACCCACGGACCUUUAAACUAUCGACACCUGCAUUAAAAAUUUUGGUUGGGGCGACCUCGGAGCACAACAAAACCUCCGAAUAACACAUGCUAAGACCACACAAGUCAAAGCGAACUAACACUUAUAAUUGAUCCAAUAACUUGAUCAACGGAACAAGUUACCCUAGGGAUAACAGCGCAAUUCUACUCUAGAGUCCAUAUCGACAAUAGAGCUUACGACCUCGAUGUUGGAUCAGGACAUCCUAAUGGUGCAGCAGCUAUCAAGGGUUCGUUUGUUCAACGAUUAAAGUCCU